Molecule: ribosomal RNA, 460 nt
Filed under: uncultured bacterium
Lineage: Bacteria
Description: partial 16S ribosomal RNA
Rfam family: Bacterial small subunit ribosomal RNA
Source: RNAcentral
CCUACGGGAGGCAGCAGUGAGGAAUCUUGGUCAAUGGACGGAAGUCUGAUGCAGCCAUGCCGCGUGCAGGAAGACGGCUCUAUGAGUUGUAAACUGCUUUUGUACAAGGGUAAACCUGAAUACGUGUAUUCAGCUGAAAGUACUGUACGAAUAAGGUUCGGCUAACUCCGUUCCAGCAGCCGCGGUAAUACGGAGGAUCCAAGCGUUAUCCGGAUUCAUUGGGUUUAAAGGGUGCGUAGGCGGAUUGAUAAGUUAGAGGUGAAAUGUCCGGGCUGAACUCGGGAACUGACCCUAAUACUGUGGAACUAGAGAGUAGAUGCGGUAGGCGGAAUGUAUGGUGUAGCGGUGAAAUGCGUAGAGAUCAUACAGAACACCGAUUGCGAAGGCAGCUUACCAAUCUAUAUCUGACGUUGAGGCACGAAGGCGUGGGGAGCAAACAGGAUUAGAUACCCCAGUAGUC